CAAUAGCGUAUAUUAAAGUUGUUGCAGUUAAAAAGCUCGUAGUUGGAUUUGUGGCGGUUCCUGUGGUCCGAUUUCGGUACUUUCGGGGACUGCCAUCCUUGGGUGGAUCUUGUGUGGCAUUAGGUUGUCGUGCAGGGGAUGCCCAUCGUUUACUGUGAAAAAAUUAGAGUGUUCAAAGCAGGCUUACGCCGUUGAAUAUAUUAGCAUGGAAUAAUGAGAUAGGACCUUGGUACUAUUUUGUUGGUUUGCGCACCGAGGUAAUGAUUAAUAGGGACAGUUGUGGGUAUUCGUAUUCCAUUGUCAGAGGUGAAAUUCUUGGAUUUCUGGAAGACGAACGAAUGCGAAAGCAUUUACCAAGGAUGUUUUCAUUAA
RNAcentral lists this ribosomal RNA (372 nucleotides) under uncultured eukaryote. RNAcentral describes it as "partial 18S ribosomal RNA". It matches the Rfam family "Eukaryotic small subunit ribosomal RNA", at positions 592 to 976 of the family's 1831-position model. The record is from RNAcentral.